This 74-nucleotide transfer RNA is filed under the name Paenibacillus larvae. RNAcentral describes it as "tRNA-Ala". It matches the Rfam family "tRNA". Rfam says of the family: Transfer RNA (tRNA) molecules are approximately 80 nucleotides in length. Their secondary structure includes four short double-helical elements and three loops (D, anti-codon, and T loops). The record is from RNAcentral. Lineage: Bacteria; Bacillati; Bacillota; Bacilli; Caryophanales; Paenibacillaceae.
GGGGCCAUAGCUCAGCUGGGAGAGCGCCUGCCUUGCAAGCAGGAGGUCAUGUUCGAUCCCGCUUGGCUCCACCA